ACUCUGGUAAUGAUUGGUGCUUGCAUCAUGAAUUACAUUUGAGUGAGUGGCGAACUGGUGAGUAACACGUGGGAAACCUGCCCAGAAGCGGGGGAUAACACCUGGAAACAGAUGCUAAUACCGCAUAACAACUUGGACCGCAUGGUCCGAGUUUGAAAGAUGGCUUCGGCUAUCACUUUUGGAUGGUCCCGCGGCGUAUUAGCUAGAUGGUGAGGUAACGGCUCACCAUGGCAAUGAUACGUAGCCGACCUGAGAGGGUAAUCGGCCACAUUGGGACUGAGACACGGCCCAAACUCCUACGGGAGGCAGCAGUAGGGAAUCUUCCACAAUGGACGAAAGUCUGAUGGAGCAACGCCGCGUGAGUGAAGAAGGGUUUCGGCUCGUAAAACUCUGUUGUUAAAGAAGAACAUAUCUGAGAGUAACUGUUCAGGUAUUGACGGUAUUUAACCAGAAAGCCACGGCUAACUACGUGCCAGCAGCCGCGGUAAUACGUAGGUGGCAAGCGUUGUCCGGAUUUAUUGGGCGUAAAGCGAGCGCAGGCGGUUUUUUAAGUCUGAUGUGAAAGCC
Molecule: ribosomal RNA, 567 nt
Filed under: Lactiplantibacillus plantarum
Lineage: Bacteria; Bacillati; Bacillota; Bacilli; Lactobacillales; Lactobacillaceae
Description: bacterial SSU rRNA
Rfam family: Bacterial small subunit ribosomal RNA
Source: RNAcentral